RNAcentral lists this ribosomal RNA (606 nucleotides) under Triticum aestivum (bread wheat). Its description in RNAcentral is "partial small subunit ribosomal RNA". Lineage: Eukaryota; Viridiplantae; Streptophyta; Magnoliopsida; Poales; Poaceae. The record is from RNAcentral.
GGCGGACUAGCUGUUCCGAAUGACGCUGAGAAUCACGCACCCAUGUGGAAGAAGAAAUCUAUAUUUUGGGACCUACCCUACUGGAAAUACCUAGAGGUCCGCUCUUCGAUCGACGUGAUGCACGUGACGAAGAACCUUUGCGUGAACCUGCUAGGCUUCUUGGGCGUGUAUGGGAAGACAAAAGAUACACCUGAGGCACGAGAGGACCUGCAACGCUUGCACGAAAAAGAGGGCAUGCCUCCGAAGCAGUAUAAAGGUCCUGCCAGCUACGCUCUUACGAAAGAAGAGAAAGAAAUAUUCUUUCAAUGCCUGCUCAGUAUGAAGGUCCCGACUGGCUUCACGUCGAAUAUAAAGGGAAUAAUAAAUAUGCCAGGGAAAAAGUUCCAGAACCUAAAGUCUCAUGACUGCCACGUGAUUAUGACGCAUCUGCUUCCGGUUGCAUUGAGGGGGCUUCUACCGGAAAACGUCCGACUAGCCAUUGUGAAGCUAUGUGCAUUCCUCAAUGCAAUAUCUCAGAAGGUGAUCGAUCCAGAAAUCGUACCAACGCUAAGGAGUGAUGUGGCGCAAUGUCUUGUCAGUUUCGAGCUGGUGUUCCCACCAUCCUUC